GGGCGAGUGGUGGAAUGGUAGACACGCCGGAUUUAGGUUCCGGUGCCGAAAGGCGUAGGGGUUCAACUCCCCUCUUGCCCA
This 81-nucleotide transfer RNA is filed under the name Chthonomonas calidirosea. Its description in RNAcentral is "tRNA-Leu". It matches the Rfam family "tRNA". From Rfam's summary of the family: Transfer RNA (tRNA) molecules are approximately 80 nucleotides in length. Their secondary structure includes four short double-helical elements and three loops (D, anti-codon, and T loops). RNAcentral also lists the same sequence under 4 other names. Lineage: Bacteria; Bacillati; Armatimonadota; Chthonomonadia; Chthonomonadales; Chthonomonadaceae. The record is from RNAcentral.